GACGAACGCUGGCGGCGUGCUUAACACAUGCAAGUCGAACGGAAAGGCCCUGCUUUUGUGGGGUGCUCGAGUGGCGAACGGGUGAGUAACACGUGAGUAACCUGCCCUUGACUUUGGGAUAACUUCAGGAAACUGGGGCUAAUACCGGAUAGGAGCUCCUGCUGCAUGGUGGGGGUUGGAAAGUUUCGGCGGUUGGGGAUGGACUCGCGGCUUAUCAGCUUGUUGGUGGGGUAGUGGCUUACCAAGGCUUUGCCGGGUAGCCGGCCUGAGAGGGUGACCGGCCACAUUGGGACUGAGAUACGGCCCAGACUCCUACGGGAGGCAGCAGUGGGGAAUAUUGCACAAUGGGCGGAAGCCUGAUGCAGCAACGCCGCGUGCGGGAUGACGACCUUCGGUUUGUAAACCGCUUUCGCCUGUGACGAAGCGUGAGUGACGGUAAUGGGUAAAGAAGCACCGGCUAACUACGUG
This 468-nucleotide ribosomal RNA is filed under the name uncultured bacterium. RNAcentral's name for it is "partial 16S ribosomal RNA". It matches the Rfam family "Bacterial small subunit ribosomal RNA", at positions 28 to 507 of the family's 1533-position model. The record is from RNAcentral.